AGCAUUGGAAAGUCUUGAAAAAUAUGAGAACAAAAGUAAGAAGGAAAAGGAGAAGAAAAGAGACAAAGAGGGAGAGAAGAAGCCAAUAGCUCUUGUGGCCUCUAGCUCUAAGUCCUCACGAAAAGAGCAAAGUGAAAAUGAUUCUAGUAGUGACAAAGAUUCAGAUGAUGAGGAAAUGGGACUGUUUGUAAGGAGAUAUAAUAGAUUCAUUCGAAAGAAUGGAGUCAAGCAUUCCGAC
RNAcentral lists this long non-coding RNA (238 nucleotides) under Lathyrus oleraceus (garden pea). RNAcentral's name for it is "Pisum sativum (pea) long non-coding RNA (PSAT_LNC031948)". The record is from RNAcentral. Lineage: Eukaryota; Viridiplantae; Streptophyta; Magnoliopsida; Fabales; Fabaceae.